UGCCGACCGGGUGUCUGCACUAAGUUGGCAUGAAUAUGGUGACCUCCUGGGAUUGAGGGGCCACCAGGUUGCCUAAGGAUGGGUGGACUGGCCCAGAUCAGAAAGGGAACAGGUCAGAACUCCCAUACCAACUGGUAGCAGGACUGUGCCUGGGAA
Molecule: small RNA, 156 nt
Filed under: Macaca mulatta (Rhesus monkey)
Lineage: Eukaryota; Metazoa; Chordata; Mammalia; Primates; Cercopithecidae
Description: Metazoan signal recognition particle RNA (ENSMMUG00000055873.1)
Rfam family: Metazoan signal recognition particle RNA
About the family: The signal recognition particle (SRP) is a universally conserved ribonucleoprotein. It is involved in the co-translational targeting of proteins to membranes.
Source: Rfam by way of RNAcentral